Molecule: ribosomal RNA, 484 nt
Filed under: uncultured bacterium
Lineage: Bacteria
Description: partial 16S ribosomal RNA
Rfam family: Bacterial small subunit ribosomal RNA
Source: RNAcentral
AUUGAACGCUGGCGGCAGGCCUAACACAUGCAAGUCGAGCGGAUGAAGGGAGCUUGCUCCUGGAUUCAGCGGCGGACGGGUGAGUAAUUCCUAGGAAUCUGCCUGGUAGUGGGGGAUAACGUCCGGAAACGGGCGCUAAUACCGCAUACGUCCUGAGGGAGAAAGUGGGGGUUCGUCGGACCUCACGCUAUCAGAUAAGCCUAGUUCGGAUUAGCUAGUUGGUGGGGUAAAGGGUUACCAAGGCGACGAUCCGUAACUGGUCUGAGAGGAUGAUCGGUCACACUGGAACUGAGACACGGUCCAGACUCCUACGGGAGGCAGCAGUGGGGAAUAUUCGACAAUGGGCGAAAGCCUGAUCCAGCCAUGCCGCGUGUGUGAAGAAGGUCUUCGGAUUGUAAAGCACUUUAAGUUGGGAGGAAGGGCAGUAAGUUAAUAUCUUGCUGUUUUGACGUUACCAACAGAAUAAGCACCGGCUAACUUCGUG